AGUGAACGCUGGCGGUAGGCCUAACACAUGCAAGUCGAACGGCAGCACAUUAAGAGCUUGCUCUUACGGGUUGCGAGUGGCGGACGGGUGAGGAAUACAUCGGACUCUACUUUUUCGUGGGGGAUAACGUAGGGAAACUUACGCUAAUACCGCAUACGACCUACGGGUGAAAGCAGGGGAUCUUCGGACCUUGCUCGAUUGAAUGAGCCGAUGUCGGAUUAGCUAGUUGGCGGGGUAAAGGCCCACCAAGGCGACGAUCCGUAGCUGGUCUGAGGGGAUGAUCAGCCACACUGGAACUGAGACACGGUCCAGACUCCUACGGGAGGCAGAAGUGGGGAAUAUUGGACAAUGGGCGCAAGCCUGAUCCAGCCAUACCGCGUGGGUGAAGAAGGCCUUCGGGUUGUAAAGCCCUUUUGUUGGGAAAGAAAGGCAGCAGGUUAAUACCCCGCUGUUCUGACGGUACCCAAAGAAUAAGCACCGGCUAACUUCGUG
RNAcentral lists this ribosomal RNA (492 nucleotides) under uncultured bacterium. RNAcentral's name for it is "partial 16S ribosomal RNA". It matches the Rfam family "Bacterial small subunit ribosomal RNA", at positions 29 to 507 of the family's 1533-position model. The record is from RNAcentral.